GGCGGCAUGCUUUACACAUGCAAGUCGAACGGCAGCGCGGGGCAACCUGGCGGCGAGUGGCGAACGGGUGAGUAAUAUAUCGGAACGUACCCAAGAGUGGGGGAUAACGUAGCGAAAGUUACGCUAAUACCGCAUACGAUCCAAGGAUGAAAGCAGGGGAUGCGCUUGCGCACCUUGUGCUCCUGGAGCGGCCGAUAUCUGAUUAGCUAGUUGGUAGGGUAAAGGCCUACCAAGGCAUCGAUCAGUAGCUGGUCUGAGAGGACGACCAGCCACACUGGAACUGAGACACGGUCCAGACUCCUACGGGAGGCAGCAGUGGGGAAUUUUGGACAAUGGGCGCAAGCCUGAUCCAGCAAUGCCGCGUGAGUGAAGAAGGCCUUCGGGUUGUAAAGCUCUUUUGUCAGGGAAGAAACGGGAGGGGCUAAUAUCCCCUCCUAAUGACGGUACCUGAAGAAUAAGCACCGGCUAACUACGUGCCAGCAGCCGCGGUAAUACGUANGGUGCAAGCGUUAAUCGGAAUUACUGGGCGUAAAGCGUGCGCA
This 542-nucleotide ribosomal RNA is filed under the name uncultured beta proteobacterium. Its description in RNAcentral is "bacterial SSU rRNA". It matches the Rfam family "Bacterial small subunit ribosomal RNA", at positions 38 to 573 of the family's 1533-position model. Lineage: Bacteria; Pseudomonadati; Pseudomonadota; Betaproteobacteria. The record is from RNAcentral.